Molecule: transfer RNA, 73 nt
Filed under: Neotoma lepida (desert woodrat)
Lineage: Eukaryota; Metazoa; Chordata; Mammalia; Rodentia; Cricetidae
Rfam family: tRNA
About the family: Transfer RNA (tRNA) molecules are approximately 80 nucleotides in length.
Source: Rfam by way of RNAcentral
GGGGAGAUGGCUCAGUUGGUAAAGUGCUUGCCUUGCAAGCAUGAAGACCCGAGUUCAAUCCCCAGAGUCCCUG